This 253-nucleotide ribosomal RNA is filed under the name uncultured bacterium. Its description in RNAcentral is "partial 16S ribosomal RNA". It matches the Rfam family "Bacterial small subunit ribosomal RNA", at positions 524 to 776 of the family's 1533-position model. The record is from RNAcentral.
UACAGAGGUCCCAAGCGUUGUUCGGAUUUAUUGGGCGUAAAGGGUGCGUAGGCGGCGGAGUAAGUUGGGUGUGAAAUCCCGGGGCUCAACCUCGGAAUUGCAUUCAAUACUGCUUCGCUCGAGUACUGGAGAGGAGGCUGGAAUUUACGGUGUAGCAGUGAAAUGCGUAGAUAUCGUAAGGAAGGCCGGUGGCGAAAGCGAGCCUCUGGACAGUUACUGACGCUGAUGCACGAAGGCCAGGGGAGCGAACGGG